Molecule: long non-coding RNA, 1099 nt
Filed under: Homo sapiens (human)
Lineage: Eukaryota; Metazoa; Chordata; Mammalia; Primates; Hominidae
Description: HSALNT0178977
Source: RNAcentral
CCACAUGUGUACAAGCUAGACUGAAAGUACUAAUUUAAUUGAAAACACAGUUUCAUUCCAUAUACCCUCCCUUUUAACAUGAUUUAUUGAGUCCCAACUAUGUAUCGGGAAUUAUCUUAAUCAUUAAAGUAAAAACUAAAUGAAAUAAAGUAAGAUAUUUCCUCAGCAUGAAAUUAUUGUAGUUUAGAGGAAGGAAGAACUAAACAAACCCACAAAAUGAUUAUGUAAUAUUCACUAUGAGCUAAUGUUAUUAAACCUCAAAUCAAGAAAUAAAUACCAUUUUAUAUCAUCAGGAAAAAAAUUGAAACAGAAAAUGACAUUAUAUCUGAAUCUGCAAGACUAUCUGUGCUGGACUGAGGUGGGCCUUCAUCGUCUAAGCGAGCAAGAGCAAGUAGAAAGCCAUGCAGCCUGUAAAAGAAGUUGAAAUAUUGGGGAACUAGUUGAUAACAUUAUUUUGCACUGAAUUUAGAAUCAAAUUGGUUAGGAAACUAGACUUAGAUGAGGAAGAUUACAGCAUUACUAUGAACAGCCUUCAAUUAUAGCCUAAGAUGUGUGUGGUUCGGGGCAGGGCGGGGGUCUGCCUGUGUGUGCCUGUGUUUCAGGAGGGAGUUACUAACAGAUAAUAACUUUUCUAUUUAUAUGCAGGAUGGUUCUGAAUGAGAUGAGAGUGGUAGUAUGAAAAUAAUUCAGAAGAUAAUUAUAAUUUUCUGGGUGUGAUAUCUUUAAAGUUUAAGUGAAGUUUUAAAAUUAGUUGCAGUAGAAACUUAGAUUCAAAAACACAUAAUGAAAAGCAAAACAAAACACUUUCUCAAAUGUUUUAGAGUAGUUUUUCUAGAAGUAUGGUUUUCAAAUCAGAUGUAUCAUCAUCAAAUGUAGACUUAGAAUCUGAAACUUUGGAGACAGCAGUCGGAAGGGUGGCAAUUUGUGUUAUAACAAGCUCUCCAGAUGAUUCUGAUGUAAACCAAUGUUUGAGAACUACUGAUUGAAAGUUUUUAAUUAAUUAUAAAGGUUUCUCUUUUAUGCCAUUUAUAUGCUUAUUCACAAUACUGUUAUUAACAUAUUUCACUGAUGCUGUGAUAUUAAAAGAAUUUCAAGAUGC